GUCUAGGCCUGCUGUCAUGUUGCAUCGUCCAUGGUCGGGAAUGUCAGUGUUUUAAGCAUGCAAAUGGCUCGGCAUCAUACUAUCUGUCCGGCAAACUUGAAUCAACAAACUGCUCAACUCUGUGGUCUGCCAAUGGAACGGUGAUUUCAUGGAAGGAUGACACUGGUGAGGAUCAUGCCGGGGAAGUAUUGGCCCAUGAUUCCAAAGCAAUGCUUCUGAAGAUCUGUAGGGAGGACCUCCAAUACAAGGAAGAAUGCCCUGGUUCAGGGGUAGUCAAGUAUGUGCCAUGUUCCUGUAAAUGCAUCAUUCGGGAUGCAGGCCAUAUGAAACGCAAAACCACUGAAGCCCUUGGCCCUGAAGGAGGGUCUAGCCGGAGUCACAUCGCAGUGAUCUUCGGCUCGAUCAUCGCCUUCGUUAUCGCCAUACUCAUCACUGUUUAUGGGCUGGUGUGCAGAUCAGGAGCACCGAGACGGGGAGCGGCACAGUUCCUUGUCUAGGCCACCAGGACUGCAGCAAGCUGUUGGUGAAGACUUAUCAGGACUGCCUAAUUCUACUGCACUGAGGGAGCAUUUUACAAAAGUGGUCCACUAACGGUCAAUUCAUCUUUGGUGCUGUGGUUAGCGUAGCUGCCUUUCCCCCUUGAGCCUUGAGUUCAAGCUUCAAUAUUCAGUAAAACUAUGCUCAUGGUAAAUGGUACAUGGUUGGCUUUGUACAGCACUUUGGAUAAAGGCGCUAUAUAAAUUGCAAUUGGAAUUGGAAAUCAAGGAACACAAUCAAUAUUACACUUUGGAAAAAUCAACUUGGUUUUUCCAUUGAUAUGUAAUCGAUAUCUGCCUCAAUUUAAAAACAAACCGCUGACUUUGACAUAAUCUGGCAUCCAUUCAUCGAUAGACUAAAUUUGUUACCUCUGCACCGAUUUCACAAUUAGUUUCGUUUUUUUCGCCUGUCCGUUUGCCUGAUGUUUUGUUUUAUUUUGUUUGUUUGGUUCUAUUCUGUUUUGAAUGUCUGAUUAUUUUGUGACUCUUGUCUUUUUAACACUUCUAUUGCACUUUAUUGCGCAAAAAAAUUGUAAUAAUAUAUUAUGGUUUUGCACUUCACUAUAGAUGGUUAAUGCUCAAGUUAAUUUUUAGCAGUUUUGACUGGUGGAUAUUGGUGUACUAUUUAGCUGUUAACCAUAUAUGGCUAGAUUAGACAUGUACGCUCUCGGCAUACUUCGGUAAUAUCACUAUGAAACUGUGCACAAAUUAAGCUCUUUGGAUGUUCAUAAGUAACAUAACCAGUAGCCUGAUCACCAAUCAGCCCAGGUCGGCUCAUGUCACCCCGCUUCUCAUUGGCCUCCACUGGCUUCCCCUUGCCGCACGCAUCCGUUUCAAGGCCCUAGUGUUGGCAUUUCAGGCUGCUAAGGGGACUGCCCCACCUUACAUACAAUCCCUGAUCACUCCCUACUCCCCAGCUAGACCACUCCGGUCUGCCAGCUCUGGUCGCCUUACGGUUCCCUCUCUACGUGCACCUGGCGGUCGAGCUGCACGUUCACGCCUGUUUUCCGUUUUGGUUCCUCAGUGGUGGAAUGACCUGCCUACCACUGUCAGAACAGCAGAAUCCCUCCCCCUAUUUCGACGCAGACUCAAAACCCACCUUUUCAAACUCUACCUUAGUCCUCCCUCCUGAUUUCCCCUGCCCCUCCUUUCUGAUAUCCCUAUCCUUGUCUAACCCCCCCAAAAAAAAAAAAAAAAAAAUUCUGAUGACAACUAUGUUCAGAACAGCAUUUCCUGUGUAUUUUGCUAGUUUCUGGAUGUGAUGCUCUGACUUAUGGUAGAACCUAUGCACUUGUAAGUCGCUUUGGAUUAAAAGCGUCUGCCAAAUGACUAAAAUGUAAAAUGUAAAUGUAAAUGAAGAUGCACCUCUUCAAGCAGCACCUCUCCCCAUCCCUCCCUACCUCCCUGUGAACCUUAAUUGUUGUCUUUGUGAUUUACUUUGUGUUUCGGUAUUUUUAGUUGGCUAGGUAAGCAGUAUUUGGAUCGUUAAGUUUGGUCACUUUUGCUUUGUUGUUUGUUUGUUUAUUUGUAGUUAAAAAAAAAAAAAUUAGGCCCUGGUCCUUAUCUUUGUUGUAUGGGUAGCAAUUGAAAUUGUGCUUCCCUCUAGGGUCUUUCAGCGCACUUAUCCCUGGUUAUGGGUAUGCACUUUGUUGUACGUCGCUCUGGAUAAGAGUGUCUGCCAAAUGCCAAUAAUGUAAUGUAAUGUAACCAUGGCAUUAUAUUUGUGGAGAUACAUUGCAGAAUUAUGUUUUAUUUUUUUCAUGUAAAAUUUCAUAUUUGAGUCUGCUGACGUCUGUUAUAUGAAGGUGAUCUGCCACAGAUCCAGAAAACUUGAGUGAAACUCUUGUUUUACUUCAUGAUCAUUUAUGUUUUCACUUCAAACUUUAUUGUGAAAACAGAAGAGAUCAUUAAUACAAAAUACAAAUAAUAUUUUUUAUUAAUGCGUUUUAUCAGGAUUGCCAUCUUUGUCUGCAGUUCACUUGCAUUUUGAGCUAUAAACUGUGUGGAAACAUUACAUUUACAUUACAAUAAAUUUAAAAGAUUUACACAAGAUGGCAGGUCCGUGAAAAUAAAGCAUUGUCAAUGUGUAUCUUAUUGUUGGAGCUCUAUUUAUAUAUACACUGAGUGAGCACUUUAUUAUGUACUUGUUAGACUUCUUUUUUAGACUAGAGAAGUCUUCUGCUACAGAAGUAGCCUAGAGAUUUGAUGCGUUGUGUGUUCAGAGAUGCUCUUCUGCGUACCACUGUUGUAUUGUGUUAUUUGCUUUGCGGUCACCUUCCUGUCAGCUUUGACCAGUCUGGCCAUUCUCCUCUGACAUCUCUCAUUAUCAAUGCAUUUAUGAUAAAGUGAUCACUGUGUAUAUUUAUGCAUUUGUAUUUAUAUGUAUAUAUUUUUGAUGAAUAAUAUAUUUAUUUUAUAUAAACUAUGCUUGUUCACUCCUGUACUUGAAAUAAAAAUCUUUCAGAUACA
Molecule: long non-coding RNA, 3005 nt
Organism: Conger conger (European conger)
Lineage: Eukaryota; Metazoa; Chordata; Actinopteri; Anguilliformes; Congridae
Exons: 6
Source: RefSeq, a predicted model, not a curated record